This 64-nucleotide transfer RNA is filed under the name Bryanellocoris orientalis. RNAcentral's name for it is "tRNA-Gly". Lineage: Eukaryota; Metazoa; Arthropoda; Insecta; Hemiptera; Rhyparochromidae. The record is from RNAcentral.
ACUUUUUUAUUAUAAAAAUUAUAUUUGACUUCCAAUCAAAAGAUCUUGAAAACAAGAAAAAGUA